Molecule: long non-coding RNA, 4901 nt
Organism: Maniola jurtina (meadow brown)
Lineage: Eukaryota; Metazoa; Arthropoda; Insecta; Lepidoptera; Nymphalidae
Exons: 3
Source: RefSeq, a predicted model, not a curated record
GUUACUCCCUGUAUUGUAAGUGAUAGGGAAUGAUUAACGCCGCCAUUUUCGAUUCGUUUCUGUAUUGAUUGACAAUAUGAACAUGAUUGAGACGAAUGGUUUACCCUAAGAAGUUUCUAAGGAAUCUUGAAUAUUUUUUUAUAUCAAUGUAUUAAAAAUUAAAAUAUUGUAAUAACAUUCAAUAUGUAUAUUGUACAUAAAUAACAGAUCAAUGUGUUUCAAGGCGCACAGCAGUGAUAACAGCCAAGUUCUAUGGUAAAAAUUUAUUUACUAUUUGUAUUUAUGUAUAUAAAAUUCUACAAACUCAACGUGUUACAGUUGGCGUCACGUAAAAAGAGCUCUGGACGUUGGUGAUGUCUAUCCAUGUGUAGGUAGUGUCAGUUUUUUAUAUUUAUAUAUUAUUUUAUCAGGCAGGUCUCAUGAGGUUAAGUGAUCAUCGCCGCCCAUGAACAUUUGCAGCACCAGAGGAACCGCCAAUGCGUUGUCGUCGGCUUUUUAGAAAUUUAUUGAUACGCCCUAGAAUAACCCUAAGUUGAAAUCUAGUGGGAACACCGCUGCUAGUUCCACAAUUUUCAUGUAUUAUGUCGUCGCUGCGUACGAAAAUUCUUCAAUGUGGAAAAUCACAAGUUUUCAGAAACUGUAUUAAAUCUAAAUUAUUUUGAAAAAAAUUGCGAUAUGUUUAGAUCAAAAUUAUAUAGCCAAAAAGGUUAUCUCUUGGACUAGGUACCACAAACGCUAAAGAAUAGGUUUUUGCAAGCCUACGCAUCUUUUACAACUAAUUAAAAAGACAACAAAAACGAAAGUUCCAAAAAAUUACAUAGCGGAUUUUGCAUGCGAAACGACGAUGUGUGGAAAGAAAGACCUGGGAAAGUAUACUGAUCGCCCAGGUGAUGAGGGUGAAAUUGCUUUCAGUAGCGGGUGGUGCAGUUUUAUACGGCACAGAAAUCGAAAGACUGACUGACAAACCAAUAGCGCAGCGGAGCGGACACUACCGCCGUCGUGCCUCAUUCCGUAGAUAGUAGAUUGAUAAAUCGCCCACUGCACAGGUUUAAUGUUAGAGUUCUAUUUAGAUGACGCUAACUGUAUAAAUACGUAAAAUGUAAGAUUAAUAGUAGAAACAUAUUUGAAACAUCUAUAUCAUCCGUGCAAAGGAGAAUGAUAAAACUGUAUGGAGUUUAGGCCACUAACAAAAUAUUUUUGUGUCUCGCAAAAAAUUUGUAAUGUCUGAUCUUUUUAUUUCACAGAAAAAUACUAAUUUUUCAAGUAUUUCUCUAAUUUUGUGAGAAAAACGAUUCGAGGCGAUAGACGCGUGUUUUAAAUGUGUUUCUACCAUCACAUUUCUAAUAAUGAAGAUAAUAAGGCACUAUUUACAUCAUAACAAUAAAAAGAAAUCGUGUUAUAAAAGUCUACCAUAAAAACAUUAUUUUACAUAUUCAGGAAUACUCUGUGGAUCAUAUGAUUUUUAUUAUAUUUUUAAGAUUUAAUAUAAAAAGAUAAAACAUUUUACAACACGAUCCUUAACUUUGGCUGCAAAAAGUUCUAUUAGGCUUAGGAUAAGUUCGCACUGCAGCAUUUUCCCCGCAAAAUGUCUGACAUAUGAAAAUUGUAUGAAGCCGGACGCACUCAAUUUCAGUCACAGAAUUCUGCGUGAAAAUCGUACAGUGCGUACUUACCCUAACGCGCAGGCAAGAGCGUUUUUUUUAAUCACUCUUUUCACAACCAUACUUUUUACCUUUACUGUAAAGGUAUAAGUGAUUGCACUCUAAUUCGUAUUGAAAUAAACUUGAUUCUAUGAAAUUGAUUAUUUCAUAGUCAAGAUUGGUAUCAAUAAUUCUUUUUAUAUGUUACAGUCCAAAGCCGAAACACCAGUGCACCCCGAUUGGCCUAUACGAUCCUAGGAUGGACAAAAUAAAAGCAGAAGACAAAUGUUAAGCCUUUGAAUAAGAACUCUAAAGCUGCAUAGACCAAUUACGGUGCGCCAGUCAUUCGGCUUUGAAUUAUAACAUACAAAAUGAAUUAAAAUCGAUUUGUCUUUAUAAAUUACUAAACUAAACCUAAGCGUAGAUAAGCGUACCUACUGAAACAAUCGAUUUUAUUUUUAUAUCCAUGCUGUAAUCGAUCAAUUAAAACGAUAACCUCGGUAACAUAAAAAAAUUAAAGUUAAACUAGACUAAGGGCGUUUGUGCACUGAUACGUAUUUGUUUUCGUAAAAAUACAUUUCAAAAGGCCACCCGCGUGAUACAAAAUGUGUAUGCACUUCUACAUUCAUUUGAUUCGUAUUUUGACGGAUUCGUAUAAAUACAAAUCAAAAUCAAACAUAUCAAAUGAGUGCACGAGUACAUUUUGUAUAACGGCCACCACGAAUACGAAUCGAAUAUUAAAGAGUGCAUAAACGCCCUAAAGCCAAGUGGCCAAUAGCAAUACGUCUUGCAGAACUUAGUCAGUUCUGACAGUAUAUUUGGAUUUGCAGCCAGAAAGUCAAUUUCUGUAAUUGUUCGUUACUAAAAUUUGCAGAAAUUGACACUAACACGUUCACCACAGCUGACUUCAGCUAGUUUUAUUGCUAGUGCACACUUAGCUUAACUUAAGAAAAAUGGCAAGUAAUUUAAAAAUGAGCCUCUAUAAAAUUCUAAUCAUGAAAAAAAUGAAGCUGUGACAAGAGAGAUUGAAUGUAAAAUGUAAAUGUAACUUAAAAUAAUAACUAUGAGUUAUAGGAAGAACUUUAAUAUAAUUUAAGGUAUAAUAUUAAUGUUGAACACACAUUACAGUAUGUCGCACAUUGCAACGAUAUCAAUAAAAACGUACCUACAGCUACGCUUUUUUCCUAAAAUGUACCAAAGUAAACUGAACUGAACUUUACCUUGACUAAGUAAAAUACUUUGCCUGACAAAAAUUGAAAAGAUAGACGACUAUUUUUUAAUUGCCAUAAAACUUCGGAUGAAAAAAGAAAAGUUUAUUGUUUUAAAAUGGGCAAUCAUUUCUUAAUUUAGGAAAAUUGAUUUUUAAACUUUAUAAACGUAUUAAGUAUCGAGUUCUGACUAAGUAGAUUUCUUUCUAGUAAUUAAAAAUUAGUUAUGUACGAGUAGGUAUAUGUAUUCAUAUGCGCACGCGUCGAAUAACUUCCAACUGAAAAUGCUUUGUGCUCUGCGAGCACUUAUAAUGUGUAGUCAACUAAAUAUCAUAUUUAGAAUAUAUUUCACUUAUUGCACUCACUCUUUCCCACUUACGCUCGAGUUAUCCGAAAUAGGAGACCAGAGCUUUGGAAGGCCUAAAUAUUUUUAUGUAAAUAAUCAAGCUCUAUAAAAUAUAUCUAUAUUUUGUAAAUAUAAUAUAAUAAUAUUUAUUAAAACCCCUACUAUUUGGCACUACGAUACAUAAGCAGAUUUCUUAAUAACUAAAUAUCAUGCUAUUUAUUUAUAUUCAAUAUGAACUGUCCAAAAUCAAAACGUAGUAAGCGUUUCAAAAUAUAAUAUUACGCAGAACUAUACAGUAUGAAAAGCUACACAUAAGAAAAAUGUCAACUUUAAUUUAUAAUUUUUUUAUAUACAUUAAGUAGGUUUUGUAUAUAUAUUAAGUAGUAUUAAUAUUUUUAGAUAUUUCUCACAACUCACAUACUUGAAUAUGCUAUUUAAAUCAGGCAGUAUAUGUUUGAAAAUGCUUAUGUUUGGAUGGAUCAUAUUAUAAUGAGGCUACUUUUUAUUGGCUCCAGAGUAUAACCAGCGACGAUAAAAUCCGUGCAUUAAAAAAGUGAGCGUAACCUUUUUUAAUAAAAAAUUAUGCCUAUAAAAUUUUUUCGUCUUCGAUUUUUCUCUGAAAUUCAGUUACUUAAGAUAUAUGAAAAAAUAGAAAGGGGGAAAAGUUUUUUUUUUUUUUUUAACUUUUUGUUUAAUAAAAUUAUCCGUCAUUUUUCACUUACUAAGUUUUGAUUUGAGAUAGUCGGAACAAUAUCUUAUUUUAAAUAAACAGCUACCACAUUCUACUAAACAAAAAAAAAGAUAGAAAUACUACUGUACUACGCAAAAAAUUCGAGUAUUAACCAAAUGCAAUUUGAGAGAUCCAAUAAAGAAAUAAUAUAUACUCGAUACAAUCAAUUGAAAACAAGAACUAUAUUAUACAAUAUAAAGGACCCAGUCUACAUAAUAAUGUAUAUGGUUAAUUCUGAUGUACACAAUCUCUGAACUAAGUUAAAUUCAGACAGGUCUAAAUCUAACGUUAUCCUUUUCUGGAGGGUGCAUUAUAGAAGAGAUAGCAAUAUGUAUAAUAUUUAGACGUGUCAUAUCAUGGUCAUAUUAAGGCCCAAUUUCACAAACUUGGCAUAAAUUUUAUACCCAGCAUAAAGUCGUAAGUUACUCUCAGAUAACCUAAUUCUCAUUUCACCAAAUAAAUAAAAUAUACCUAAAAAUAAAUAAGAUAUACGAAAAUAGUCCAAUACCGCCGAUUUUUAAGGGAUAGCGGGCUUAUUCCUAGGUUUUAAAUCAAAAUGACGUCGAACUCGUAACCAUGGUAACGUAGACAAGUAACAAGACAAUCAAUGACAACUGACAUUGACGUUCAGUCGACGUAAGUCUCAACCGCGACUCAUUUGCGAGCUGAGUCCCUAUGAGUUCGAAGUAGUAGUGAGUAAAGCCGGAUUCUUAUACAUUUAUAAUGGAAAUCUCUCACAAUAAUUUAAACACUGAAAUUGACAGCUGAUACCUAUUCAAACUAAACUCGUACGUAUAAUCGUACGUGCUCAUGACGUAUAAUCUCAGUUUUUGACAUUUACUCAUUCUUUUGAUUUACUCAAACCUGCCAUAGACUAUUUAAAAUCGCUAUUUCAAAGAAUAGCUUAUCUAAGGUAUGAAUAAAUUGGUGAAACGUAUUAUAAGUUGUCCAAGAGUAAAUGUAGCGGAUAAUUUUAU